Molecule: ribosomal RNA, 314 nt
Filed under: uncultured eukaryote
Lineage: Eukaryota
Description: partial 18S ribosomal RNA
Rfam family: Eukaryotic small subunit ribosomal RNA
Source: RNAcentral
CCCUUAGAUGUUCUGGGCCGCACGCGCGUUACACUGAUGCAUUCAACGAGUUCUUCCUUGGCCGAGAGGCCUGGGCAAUCUUUUGAACGUGCAUCGUGAUAGGGAUAGAUUAUUGCAAUUUUUGGUCUUCAACGAGGAAUUCCUAGUAAACGCAAGUCAUCAACUUGCAUUGAUUACGUCCCUGCCCUUUGUACACACCGCCCGUCGCACCUACCGAUUGAAUGGUCCGGUGAAGCCUCCGGAUUGGCGCGCACCUCGGUGCCGCCGAGAAGUUGGCUAAACCUUACCAUUUAGAGGAAGGUGAAGUCGUAACG